GCAAGAACAAAGGAUUCCAACACCCAAGAGUUCAGAGUAACCAGCCGCCAACCACCUUUUUUAGUGUAAAAGAAGCUUGAAUUCUACUUGGAGGCGCUGAAAGAGCCAAGUGGAAUCUAGCCCAGCUGCCAGUUCCCCAGAGACCCUGCGUGUCACCUCCCGCCAGCACACUGGAGAAGGGCCAUGUGGCCCGGAGACUGCCUCCCACCCCCGGCCCACAACUGCUGCUGCUGCUGCCCUUCCCAGACCACCACAGUCACCAUGACUGGUCUGAGGGAGGAAGACUCAGGCCACUACUGGUAUCGCAUCUACCACACCUCCGGCUGCUCUGUCUCCAAGCCCGUGAAGUUCUAUCCGGUGGUGUCGCC
Long non-coding RNA from Dama dama (fallow deer), 368 nucleotides. RefSeq lists it as uncharacterized. The record is from RefSeq and is a predicted model, not a curated record. The transcript is spliced from 3 exons. NCBI's taxonomy places the organism in Eukaryota, Metazoa, Chordata, Mammalia, Artiodactyla, Cervidae.